GCUCCGGUGGCUUAGGCGUCAGAGCGUCCACCUCGGAUGGGAGAGGUCGUGGGUUCGAUCCCCAGCCGAGUCA
This is a non-coding RNA of Potamilus streckersoni, 73 nucleotides long. NCBI's taxonomy places the organism in Eukaryota, Metazoa, Mollusca, Bivalvia, Unionida, Unionidae. The record is from the annotation of a GenBank genome assembly.